Molecule: ribosomal RNA, 254 nt
Filed under: uncultured bacterium
Lineage: Bacteria
Description: partial 16S ribosomal RNA
Rfam family: Bacterial small subunit ribosomal RNA
Source: RNAcentral
UACAGAGGUGGCAAGCGUUGUUCGGAAUUACUGGGCGUAAAGGGCGCGUAGGCGGUUUGGUAAGUUGGAUGUGAAAUCUCCAGGCUCAACUUGGAGGGGUCAUUCGAUACUGCCAUGACUAGAGUUCGGUAGGGGAGUGUGGAAUUCCUGGUGGAGCGGUGAAAUGCGCAGAUAUCAGGAGGAACACCCGUAGCGAAGGCGGCACUCUGGGCCGGAACUGACGCUGAGGAGCGAAAGCGUGGGGAGCGAACAGG